RNAcentral lists this long non-coding RNA (32908 nucleotides) under Fragaria vesca (wild strawberry). RNAcentral's name for it is "long non-coding RNA (FVES_LNC001554)". The record is from RNAcentral. Lineage: Eukaryota; Viridiplantae; Streptophyta; Magnoliopsida; Rosales; Rosaceae.
GGGAGGAUCUGGUGCCCCACACUCAUUUUUUUGCUGAUCCAAAAGAGCCUUUCUUGCUAGAAAUUUACGAAAGGAAUGACACCUUGGAACCUUGUUGCUCAUUCCAGUGACAAUAACACCUGUGUGAUUGCCUGUUUGCUUCUCUUGAAGAUUCUGAUGGAGAAGAUGAGCCAAUGCAAAACUAAAUUCAGGACGCGUCUGUGAACUUGAAGAGUGCCAUGUGGUUAUCUAGUAUAAUCAAACACGUUUUGUGAUUAACAUAGUGGUUAUACCAAGCAUAUAUAACUUGUGAAUCAUGCUCAAGAUAUGUACCUGUAAUUUGUUAGAAAUAGAGAUUGACUUGUCCAAAAAAACAAGGAAAACAAAUGCCCUGGUGCAGCUUCUAAGAAAACAAAUGCCCUGGGGUGCAAUAUUCUUCUUGUUGGUUUAAAUUGUCAUACAAGGUUCCAGACUUCCAGCUUUCAGUUGAAGUAUAAAGCUUCAUCGGUCAAAAUGCAUACCAACUUAAGACGCUUACAAUUUAAAGCCAUUGUUCCUCCCUAUUAUUCUAAUCUCAAAUCUCAAUAUAAAUCAGUUUCUCCAAACAAGCUUGAAGAGCUGGAGCACCCAUGUUAUGAAAAAUCUCAUUCAAUGAUGCAGACCACAUAUAUAUACAUGAUGAUGAUUCAUAAAACAAAUGUGAAGCCAUUUGUGGCAUUUGAUAAACUCAUAUACAUCACAGAACAAAUGAAAUCUGAGAGAGCAAAUUACCUUAGGUUUUAUUAACAUCUUUCUCCUUCCUCUCCUCUUCUCACAGAACGAAUGAAGCCAACCUCUUUCUCCUUCCUCUCCUCUUCUGUUCCUUCACUUUAGGUUUCAUCGAUUUGUUUCUAAUAAGCUAGGGUUUUUUUUUUUCUAAAUUCUGUUUUUGUUUUUUAUUAUAUUUUUCAUAUAUAAGUUAUAAAAUUACAUGCUACCUGGUAAACAAGUUACCAAUAUUGAAUAAUCUAAGCCGUUAGAUAUAUUCAAAAUUUUAUUAUAUCUAACGGUCAAGAAUAUUCAAAGAGUUGAUGUAUCAACUCACCUUAUAAUUUUCCCCUUAACAACAUUGUGCCCCUGAACAUGCUAUCUCUUUUCUAGCUAGCUGGAUCAAUUAAUGGGCAAGGGUGCUCACCUCAUCCAUUAUCCAAAUGCCUUUGUCAUAUCGCCAUUAACAAAAAAGUAUCUCCAUCUAAACUAAUCUCAAAGGAGCGAACAUGGCUGGGGCUCUGAAAAAACAUAAAUUUCUUUAGCCGUGAAGCCUCUUGAAGGACUAACUCGUCAAGUUGGACGAGCACAGACAUGUAUCCAGGAAUUGGAGAGUGAUCCAAAAUGAGGCAGUGAGACAUACUCAACUCUUCUAAUUGCUUCAUUUCCUUGAGCAAGGAUAGCAUAGCAUCCCUGUGCACCAUGUUGAACUCAAUACUUGAGACCUUCAAACUUGGUGCAUAUGCAAUAAUGCUCUCUGCACAAUCCAUGUCAACCAGGCACAGCAUUUUCAGCUCGAUGAGGUUGUUGCAGUGCUGACCAAUUGCCUUCAUGAAUUCAAUAGUAAAUCUACCUCGAAUAGUCAAUGACUCAAGCUUUGGCCAGUUCUUUGCAGCUUCUUCAGACCCAUUAACUAGUCUUUCGGUGUCCUGAACUGGUAGAACAAGUCUUUUGAGAUUUGGGGUUAUGUAAAAGAGAUAACUAGUCGAUCAGUUUACGUUUCAUCAAAUAAUCUCUUUAGUACAUUUUUGGAGAAUGUGAAUACUAACCUUUUAGAAACAAGAACCAACUGCUGACUUGUUAUGUAUGUGUUGAGGUGGAAAAUCAAGCAUGAUAUGGUUCCACCGCAUAAACGGAAAGCACUACUGAGGAUGUUAAUAACCCUGUGGCUAGACUGCUCCCGCUGUGGAUUGAAGUUCGUGGCCUUCAGCUUACUAAAAUCCACUACCUCCCAGAGGCAGGGUUCGAAAGCUGCUUCCCGCCAAGAUUUGCAAACAGAUGCCACACAGACUAACUCAACAACAUUCAGUGUCAUGAAUAUACGAAUAAGUAUAUCAUUAUCCAUGUGUGCCCAUCUGUCAAAUCUUGAGUUUUUGUUUGUCGUCAUAGUACAAAGGAAGUGGCUGAAACCAUCAAGGAUCAAAACAAUUAAGAUACUGUGUAUACUAGUAAAGAAUCAAGGAUUAAAAUAUCAAACAUUGAAAUGAACUUUUGUUUCAUACAAAAUGCAUAUAUAGCGAUCAAAUACGAUUAUAAGAGAUGACUAAUCAAUCUCUAUUACUGUAUAGUUUCUCUAUUUUCCAGACUGAGAUUGAAGGACUAGGAUUUAAUAACUUAUGCUAAACUAGGAUGCCAUACAUUAUUCUAUAUGUUUCUGGUUUUAAGAGAUAGGAUUUAAUUAUUGAUGUUAUACUAAGAUGCCAUACAUUAUUCUAUAUGUUUCUAGUUUUAAGAGAUACAUUUUGUUGCCUCCACUGAACAAUAUUAUUACCGAGUGGAAGAAACAAGUCUAACAUAAGAAAUGCGAGACUAGAUAAUAUCCAGAAGGGAAAACUGAUAAGUUAAAGGACAGACAAAGUUACACAGUGAAGAAACUAAAACUAAGUCAUAAAGCCUUGAGAGACAAUAAGCUACAACUAGCAAGGAAUUCGUGAACACGAUGUAAGCUUUGAGAACAUACUAUGAUCGCAACAAGGCUUUAAAGAUAUAGAAUAAUCAUUAACGAAGCUUCGAGAACACUCCAAAUAAUUAAGGUUUGAAGAAUUGGAAUUUAUGAGGGAUAACAUUAAUUAUAUAAAGAUAUACAUCAUCCGUAUUCAUAUGAGAAACUUUCUGUAAACGAAUACAUGAUUUUCUGUUGACAAAUCAACCGUGCAUAUAAACUUGCCUUUCCUGAUAAGACAAAGAAAUUUGUUAUUGAUCUUUAAUGAACUCUACCAAGAUAAAGCCGCAAUUAGAAUUCGAAUACACUCACUAAAGUUAAUCACAUCAUAUCUAAAGAAGUAUGCAAAGAAUCUGAAAUUUUUGCAUUCAAGUAACCAAAUCAUCCGCUUAGGUUCACACAGAUGAUGACCAAGGAAAGGAGUCAAAGAACUACCACAACAUUACAAAUGUUUUAACUUCCACAGACAACAUGUGAUACCCUUGCUUAUUCAUUCAUCUUUGACUAGAAAAAGUAAAGAAUCGUUUUCCAAUUUAAUUCAACCCUAGCUGGAUAUAUCGAACAUGACUAAGAGAAAAAGGAAGCUCCAUAAAUGUUUUCUCAGAAAAUUGCACGAAAAAAUGAAACUGAAGUUGUGAAUAAGAAAGGAAAAAAGAAGAAUUUAAUAAACAUGGAUGUGUAUCCAAAUGCAUUGAAUGUGUGAAUUCGAUCUGCACUGGAUUUGCUUGGAUUAGUUUUCUUUCCAGUUCACCAACAACUGUCCUUUUUGUCAACCAAAUUCAAAUUCAUUUCUUUUUUAUGAACUAACUGUAAGGUUAUGGCAAUCAUAUUCAACCUAUGAGCAAAGAAGAAUUUGGAAAGCUCAAGUUUCCUAGCUCAACCAGGAGAGGUCUUGCUCGACUGGUUUUUGACUGUAGUAUCUUUCUGCAGUAACUCUGAUCUCGAUCUAGGAGGUAAAUGCAUUUCAUGCAUAUCAUGUUUUAUAACUGAUUGUGAGAAGAUUGAGUUUAUAUUUGGUAUAGAUCUGUCUAAAUUAUCUUUGAGAUGUUUAGGAAGAUAAAUGCUUAUCUGUUAGGAAAGUAUACGAAAUACAUAUUUGUUAUAACUGAUUUGCUUCUUGUUUCCUUGUUUAUCUCAAUCGGGAAUCAAAAGUGAUUCAGUUGAGGGGGAGUCCUUCCCCUUAUAUAUAUGAUUGAGUUGUCUCUUGAAACGUAGAGUUUUUUUAUAUUUUUAAUAGACACAUUGUGUUCUUAUUGCAGCACUGCUGCAUAUUUUCUUUUUGUGAAAAACUCUUAUUCCUUUGUUAUUGCAUCUGUUAUUUCAUUGUGAUCGAGAUCAGUGUGUUGGCAAACAAGAAGUGCUCGGUUCGUCUGUUCAAAGGCUGGAUCCAUUGCUUGUAGAAUAGGAAGAUCAGUUGUGAGAGAUCAAGCUAGUUUGUAUGCUAGUAAACGUGAAAGUAAUUGUACUUCACUGCUUGAUAGGAACUAUAAUUCUAUUUACUCUUAGUGGAUUGAUUUAAAUGUGGACUACUAUAAAGUAUUGCAGUGAGGUUUCCUUGUGGAAGGUUUACACUGUAGUCAAAAUCUUGUUUUUCUUGUUUUUCCUUGCAAUUUAUAUUACUUUGAGAAACAGAAAAACCAGUAAAUAGGUCCUAAACAUACUUUCAUUUGGUACCAGAGCAGGUGCUAGUCUUACUAGUAAAAGAUCCUGUCAAAACAUGGACAUAUCUAAGUCAAAUGGAUCGAUUAAUAAUCCACCUUUCUUUGGUGGAGGUUGUGAGCAAUACUCAUCCUGGAAGAUAUAUAUGAAAACACUUUUAUUUUUCAGUGGAUGAAUUAUUGUGGACUGUCAUUGAAGAUGGUUAUAAUCCUCCUGUCCUUACUGAUGACAAAAAUUCAACCGUGGCACUCAAACCCAGGAACACCUGGUGUACAACAGAAGUCAAUCUUUAAAAGGCAGACCACAAGGCAAGACACUGCAUAUUCACAGCUCUGUCCGAGGAAGAGAGAAUUUGUGUGAAUCACUAUGAAACAACCAAGGAGGCAUGGGAUCUACUGGAACUCACUUAUGAAGGUAAUAAAAAGGUAAGAUCUCAAAAGUUGCAACAACUUACUUAUGAAUUUGAAACUUUGACUCUAAAAGAAGAUGAAACUGUAGAUGACUUUUACAUAAGGGUGUUGAAAGUAGCAGGGCAGUGUAGGAGUCUAAAAGAGAAAAUUCCUGAGCAUAAACUUGUUAAGAAAAUUCUUAGAGGUCUGCCUAAGAGCUAUCAAGGAAAGGUUAUCAGUAUAGAAGAUGCUUAUGACCUAGACACCAUGAAAUUAGAUGAAUUACUUGGAAAUCUUAAGGCUUUUGAGCAAAGAUGGAUAGUUGGGGAAAAGAAACCAAAAAGUGUAGCCUUCAAAGCAACUAAAAAGGAAAAAAAUGAGCGAAGUGAGGAAGACUCUGAGAAUCUAGACUUAGCUCUAAUAACUAAACAAUUCAGAUAGUUCAUGAAAAAUAAAAACUCAGCUGGAAGAAAUUCCAAAGGAAAUUUUAAUUCUAGAAAGUUCAAUCACUCAAAAUCUGAGGGAGGUUCAAACUCUAGAACUGAUGGAAAUAGGUUCAAUCAAAAUGUUACUCCUUCUGGUCCAACUUGUUUUACAUGUGGUGGCCUUGGCCAUAUGGCUGCUGACUGUGGAAAUAAGAAAUAUGUAGGUACUAACAAGUCUUUACUCUCUACUUGGAGUGAUGAUGAAGAACAAACUGUGGCUUUUGUUUGUUCAACCAAAGAAUUUUCAGACUCAGACUCUGAUGAGGAUUUUGAAGAAGGACUAGAUUAUUAUUGUGCACAAAUGUUCAAGGCCUCGAAUUUAUUGGUACAACAGAAUAAAGUUCUGCAAGAUGAAGCUGAACUGUGGAUCUCCAAAAGGCAAAAAAUGGAGAAAAAAUUUAGUGAUCUACAACAGAGUUAGGAAGCUGAAAAAGCCAAACUAGAAGAAGAUCUAACAAACUUGCAGAGUGGAGAUGAGGGAACCUGGAGGACUAAAAGAACCGAACUAAUCAAUGAGGUAUUGUUUUUAAAAGAUCAAAAUUUAAAACUAACUAAUGAAAUCUCAGCUCUACAGGUAAAAUUGAACAUCUCAGCUGAAAAAUUUGAGCAGUUCAAAACCAGCUCAGAAAAAUCCUCUCAAAUGUUGCUAGUGGGAAGAAGAUAUGGUGACAGAUCUGGACUGGGAUAUCAGGGAGAAAAGACAUCCACAAAUCCAAUGAGCACAUCUACUAAGCUUACUGAAGACAAGGUGGGAAAAGCAGUAGAUCAAGCCUUGUACAGAUCUAUGAUUGGUAGCUUACUGUAUCUCACAGCUAGCAGACCAGACAUAUCUUUUAGUGUGGGCAUAUGUGCUCGAUUUCAAGCAGACCCAAGAGAAUCACAUCUAGAAGCUAUUAAAAGAAUCAUCAAAUACAUUGCUGAGACAACAGGUUGUGGUCUAUUUUACACCUUUGAUACUAAUGUUGAAAUCACUGCUUACUCUGAUGCAAAUUGGGGAGGAAAUCUGAAAGAUAGAAAAAGUACCUCUGGAGGAUGCUUUUUUUUGUUGGAAACAAUAUGGUGGCAUGGCAUAGCAAGAAACAAAAUUGUGUUUCCCUAUCCACCACUGAAGCUGAAUAUGUAGCAGCUGGCUCCUGCUGCACUCAAAUGCUUUGGCAUAAACAAAUGCUAUCUGACUAUGGCGGCAUCUCUCAAGGUAAGUUAUCUAUCUUCUGUGACAAUACUAGUGCUAUUAGUAUCACUAAAAAUCUUGUGUUACACUCAAAGACUAAGCACAUAGAACUCAAGUAUCACUUCUUCAGGGACUUGGUUGAGAAACAAAUUCUUCAAUUAAAUUUUGUCCCUACUGAGUCUCAACUUGCUGACUUGUUUACUAAAGCUUUAGACACUGAAAGAUUUUUAACGUUGAGAAAUGCUCUAGGAAUUCUGGAGCUUUAAGUUACCUCUGCAUUGAUAUGUUUAAUGGUGUGUCUGAACUUGAAAUUUGUCAAGAGAAAUUUUUUUUUCCGCAUCAGAUCUAUUUAUGAGAACUUCCAUUGUGCCUUAUUCUGGACUUUACUAUAUCUUGUUAUCACAUCAUCACUCUAUAUCUGUAUCACUUCUAUUUUACUAUUUUGGUGGUAUACUAUCAAGCAUGGCAUGUCAUGAGAUUGCUAGAGAACACACUCAUGAUCAUCGGUGACUCAAAACGCCAAAGGCUAACAAUCUGUGUUGGAUUUGACGUUUCUUUGAAGUAACAUGGCUCUGGAUACGGCAAACUUCUCAGGGUGUUCAAGCCAAAAGGAGAGCGUCAGUCUAAGAAAAUGCAAAGCACCAAAAGAAACCAAAAUAAACACAGCAAACUCAAGUUUAAGUUGUAGCAGUUCAAAUGAAAGGUCUUAAGGUUCACUCAAUAUUCAUUUUUCUGUUCUUACAAGAAAUUGUCACCAAGUGUACACUAAUCCGCUGUGUUUUGUGUUCCUCCAAUCUGAUGUCAUGCAAUGCCUUGUGUGGUGAUCCAUAAAUGGUAAAAGCACACACUCAAUCUCAAAUUGUUAUGAUGUGAUCUCACGGUAUCUGUUUUAGUUAAUAGACUCCAUCACAAUCUUCAACUUCAUAAUUCAAGAUCUUUUGCUUGCUUGAAUAAAUUUUUUUGACAAGAUUUUCAUGCAGUAUUUUUUUUUUCAAAUCAUCAUUGCAUGCGUGACUUAUAUUCUCUUCUUUUUCUUGAGCAUAUCAACAAUUCUUCCUCAUUGGUCCACUGUUUUAGGGGGAGCCGGUUUUGGUAUUCCUAGAUAUUCAAAGACUCUAGGACAUUUAUUGUUAGAAUUUCUCUCCUAAUUGAUUUCAGUCUCUUUAGUUUCCAAGAUCUUCAAACCCUACUAACUCUCUAUAUAUUGGCAGGUUGCACGCCUCUUCUCUCAUAAUUCUUUUGUCUUCAGUUCUCACUUCUUUUGUUAAGUGUGCAGGCACCAAUGGUUAGGGGUAAGGAAGUAACCCGGAUCAACUCUGCCAACUGGGGAGGACCUCAUCCUGAUGACUGGUAUCGCAGGAGACGAGCUCUCGGUCUUCCAACUCAUCCCUCUGAGGAAGCUCAUGAUCCCAGAAAUCCGAGACAGCACACUCCUCAGGCAGCUUUUCCUCCUUCUCCUCCUCGCCCUCCUCCUCCAAGACGGAACAACCAUCGUCCAAACAACGUUUAGGCCAACCUGAAUGAGAUGUUUCAAUACAUGGUGGUCAUCCGAGCUUAGCAAGGAGGCACAUGGUCGCAUGCUUGCUCAAUUAUGAGAGAGCUUUAGACAAUCCAUUGCACUCUUGCAAAUCUCCCUGGUUCAAUCUUGAAUCUUCAAGCCAUGCAGUCACCAUCCCCUCCAUCUGGUGUUAUUGGUGAUGAAGAGGAGGACUUUCUUGACGAGGUGGACUGGAAGCCCUAAGGCAUUCAAAUUCAAGGGGGAGAAGACUUUUGCUGUUUUUGUUUUACGCAGUUUCUAAUUGUCUUGAACAUUUUUCCUUCGGUUUUUGGGUUGUAAGUGCAUAAGCAAAGAUUUUUGGAUGCUUUGUUUAUUUAUUGAACAAUGGUAUUUGAAAUUUUAUUUUGCUGAUCAUGGGAGAUGAUGAGUCUUGAUCCCAACAGUUCAGUAAAAUCUUUUGGUACUGUCUCAAUGAUCUUUGAUUUUCAUCUGUGAUAUUUUUCUCACAGAUGAAGAAUCACGAGAGACUUCCAAAGUAGCUUAGUUUGAUGUUUUUAUCUAUUUGAUGCUUAAUCCGUGUCUUUGCAGGUACAAAAACAUCAAGGUUGAAUAUGAAUGCCAUAGGGGGAGAUUGUAAGGUUAUGGCAAUCAUAUUCAACCUAAGAGCAAAGAAGAAUUUGGAAAGCUCAAGUUUCCUAGCUCAACCAGGAGAGGUCUUGCUCGACUGGUUUUUGAUUGCAGUAUCUUUCUGCAGUAACUCUGAUCUCGAUCUAGGAGGUAAAUACAUUUCAUGCAUAUCAUGUUUUAUAACUGAUUGUGAGAAGAUUGAGUUUAUAUUUGGUAUAGAUCUGUCUAAAUUAUCUUUGAGAUGUUUAGGAAGAUAAAUGCUUAUCUGUUAGGAAAGUACACGAAAUACAUAUCUGUUAUAACUGAUUUGAUUCUUGUUUCCUUGUUUAUCUCAAUCGGGAAUCAAAGAUGAUUCAGUUGAGGGGGAGUCCUUCCCCUUAUAUAUAUGAUUGAGUUGUAUCUUGAAACGUAGAGUUUUUUGAUAUUUUUAAUAGACACAUUGUGUUCUUAUUGCAGCACUGCUGCAUAUUUUCUUUUUGUGAAAAACUCUCAUUCCUUUGUUAUUGCAUCAUUGCAUCUAUCAUUUCAUUGUGAUCGAGAUUAGUGUGUUGGCAAACAAGAAGUGCUCGGUUUGUCUGUUCAAAGGUUGGAUCAAUUGCUUGUAGAAUAGGAAGAUCAGUUGUAAGAGAUCAAGCUUGUUUGUAUGCUAGUAAACGUGAAAGUAAUUGUACUUCACUGUUUGAUAGUAACUGUAAUUCUAUUUACUCUUAGUGGAUUGAUUUAAGUGUGGACUACUAUAAAGUCUCGCAGUGAGGUUUCCUUGUGGAAGGUUUACAUUGUAGUCAAAAUCUUGUUGUUCUUGUUUUUCCUUGCAAUUUAUAUUACUUUGAGAAACAGAAAAACCAAUAAAUAAGUCUUGAAAUACUUUCACUAACAGAUAUGAUUUUGGUGCAAUAUUCUUAUUAUCUAAGUUCGAUUCUCACAGACAACAGACAACAAGUGACACUCUUAUGAAGCAUUUAUUUUGAACUUCUCCUACACUACCUUUUUCCCAACUCAAGUCGAAGAAUGCCUACAUUAUUGAGUUUCACUAGUUGUGAUCUUUGUUCAGAGCAUAGAUCUGAUAUAUCAUCAUAACCCUGAAAUCAACUAAUAUGCAACCUCAAAAUUACAAGAUUAUAUUUUGUAGAAAAACUAAAAAAUUCCAGUCUCAAGAUGUAUUAGUUAGAUUUGCAUGUUUCUUCUGCUUCAGCAAAAGAUGGAUCAAAGUAAUCCAUAUGUAUACGACAUGCAAAAAAGAAAGCAGAAGAAACAAUCACAUACAAUUUCAAAUGUAGCCAAUCUAAGUAUCUGAAAUUUUUAGUUUAUAAAGCUAUGAUCAAUAACAAUCUAUCUGCAAUAAAUUUCAGAAAUGCAUCAAGUUUGGAAUUUAAAGUCUAAAGAACAAAAGAAAGAACAGACUCAUGCAACAAUUUAGCUCGAUCACCUCUGCUAAGAGCUCUUUUGUUUCUCCUACAAUCUUAGAUAAGAACUCGACUUCGGUGACCAGGUAUGGUCACUUGUGUCACAUUCCGACCCUUAAAUUUUUACCUUAUUUACUAGCUUGGUUAUAAUAAGAAUUUUACCGUCUCCGUCAAUGAAGUUAUAGUUUAAUUGGUUUCUAGAGGGGUUUUAGGGGACUAUUAUUUCGGAGAGUUAUUCGUAGGAGAAAAAUAUGACGACGGUAAAAAUGGUAAAUUUUAGAUAGUAAGAGGUAAUUUUUAUUAGGGUAUUAUUUUUGGGGUGUAAAUUUUUAGUGGAGUUGGGUAUAUUUUUGGACUUGGACCGGGUGUGGAGGCCCAAAGCAUUUCUUUCUUCUCUCUUUCUUCUCUUUUCUUCCCGGUUCUCUCUCUCCCCGAGUUCCUCCGGCUGCUAGACAUUCCGGCCGCUCGUCCGCCGCCGUCCGGCCGCCUGAGACUGCCGCACCGGUCCUGUUCAGUUGCCCUCCGACCCAGCUUCCUUUCUAGGCCGGUGAGGGCUGCCCUAGCUCCGCCGUGAAGGAGUUCUUUCCCCCGAAAGCGGCGACUGCCGUGGUGGUUCCAUCGUCGGAACUCCCUCCUCCGGCCACCAAUCCGGGCAAGCCAUAUACGGUUUUUGUAGGUCUCCUACCCAGCUGCCUUGCCCUAAAAGGACUCACUCCGGUUCGCUUCAGGUAAGGAGAAAUUUGAGGUGGAAGUUCUAGGGCCUUUUUGAUGUUUUUGUUCGAUUAGCAUAGCUAGGCUUGGAUUUUGGGUUUGUGCUAGUUAGGAAAGUUAUAGAGCAUGAUGAGAGGAUUAUUCUGUCAAAAUUUGAUAGGAAUUGGAGGUUGCCGGAAUCGGCCUCCGGCCACCGCCGGUUGGGAGAUUUUAAUGUUUUUAAAUUUGGAAUAUUAAGGGGAGUUUAUUGAAGUGAAUUAUGGAAUUUUCGGAUGAGUUUUGGAUAGGUUUGUGAAUUUCCGAAGUUUGGUAUUUUUGGCGGUUAAUUAAUGUAGAAUCCGGCCGUAGGAUUUAAGUCAUUAAUCUGUAGAAGGUUGAAUUAAGGCUGCCGGUAUGUUCGGUGAAGUUGGAGCCAUAUUGAGUUAGGAAUGGCUAAGUUGGGCAAUGAUGAGUGUGUGGGAGGCUCACGUUUAAUUUUGCCCAUUGUGUUUAAUUAUUGGAUUUUUAGUGGGAAAUUAAUUAUAUAUUUGGAACAGGACGAGAGGAGGCCCGAGCAGAAGAAGCCUCGGAGCGUCAUCAGGCUUAAGCCUAAUUUGUGAGUGGACCUUUGUUUUAAUUGAAAAACAUGCGAUGAAUUAUCUUGUUAAUCAUUUAUUUCUUUUCCUGAGAUUUAUUUUCUUUCUCGGAUAUUUGGCAAUUUUCCUCCUUUAAAGAGAUCCUGAAAAUAAGAUUUUCGGUGGAUAUGUUUAUUGGAUAUUAUGAGUAUAAUAUGUAUAUUGGGUCUUGUCAACUUGCAAGUGACCAACACCAAUGAGGAAGAGACACGUGUCCCGUUAAAGACUUUAAGUUUGACUUUAAGAACAUUUUAAAGGGUUAUUGGUAAUUAAUAUUUAUAUUUAAUUAUUUUUUCUGACCACAUGUUACUUCUUCAUUGGUGUUGGUCACCUGCAACUUUCAAGUGACAGACCUUGUCACAUAAGUUUUUUCCCUUAGAUAAAGUUUCAGAAAGGACAAGGAACCUCAUAUAUGCGGGAAGAGUGGGAUACUUGGCUUUUUAAUUCUAAAAACAAUCCUUUGGUUUUGUAACGGCAGAGCAAUAACCUCGUUUGUGUCCGAGGUUCUUCGGUCAAUUGCAACAUGAAGAGUCAGCAAUCAGCAGCAGAGGCUGUCCAGUUAAACACUUUGCAUGAAAUAUGAGAAGGAAACGUGUGGCACUUCUAAAUCAUUUGAGUUUAUUAGGAUUAGGAUUUACCGUAUGUAGCUUAUAGAAAAUUUCCAUUUAAUACUAAUUUUACUACCUCUGACCCAAAUCAACAUACACUUUAAAAGACCUCACAUUUUCCGAUCCAAAAAAAAAAAAAAAAUCUCGCAUUUCCCUAUAUGGUGAGCUAAGUUAUGCCUAAAUGAUACAUAUAAGUUUUUUUCUUAGUAUUUUGUGUAUUUUCUAGACAAUUUUGUCCUCACACAUUGGUCACAUGCAUAGUGAGAGAAAAUGGAAUAGAGAAAAUCCAUAGACAAUUUUGCCGUAAUCUCGCCCGACGCCGGUCUCCGAAGACCGGAUUCUGAUCGUCGGACUCUGGUAGCCCGAUAUUUUUCCGGAUUCUUGAUGCACUUUUUCAGAUGUCAUCAUAAUCUUAAUGGACUUUAUCAUAACUAGAGGAUUCUUAGAAUGUGGUUAACUGUUUAUGUAUUAAGGGGUAGUAAAGAUAAAAUCUCAUCCAAACAUCAACCAAACUCUAUGUCGGACAAUCUUAGAGAUUAUGUAUGGGCAAUAAACGAUGAACUAUUAGGGAGCAAUAAAUGUUGACAACAUUUAUUCCUCCCCCACCAAAUAAAUAUUUAAUAUAUAAGAACAUUUCAGAAUAAAAAAAAUAAACAAAUUUCAAUUGGAGAGAAGACACAUUAUCCACGUGAUCAAUUGGCGCAUUGUAUGAUAUCAUUUAUAUAUAGGAAGAUCACCGAACUAUGUCGGACAAUCUUCAGAGAUGAUAUAGGGGCAACAAAUACAUCCAAACAAGCUCACCAGAAAGAAACAGUUACAGUUAUAACGCCACUCUACUUGGGUUUACUCUUCGCUAGGGUUUCGUUCCUUGCACCAAGAGAUCCUUUUCUUAGCUUCUAACAUGGUUGAUGAGGUAUUGGCAAGUCUCACUGAUUUCCUAGCCAUCUCCACGAAGGGGAAAAUAUUUUUUGGUGGUGGUGGCGCACUGGCUGUGUCACAAUUUUCUCUAUAUUUGGACACCAUAUCCUAAAAUAGGGAGUAUUUCUAAAAGGACUACUAAGUUAAUUAUUUAUUCGUUUCACUCUCUUUUUCGAUCUUAUAUCCACAUCUCGACCGUUUAAUUUUUAGAUAUACAUAUACUCGCAAAGUCACUAUGCAAGUGGGUGUCUGUUGACGUCGUCUUGAAAGCCGGAAUCUAGGGCUUUGAUGUGGACUCAGAUUUCGAUAUAAAGUUUGAAAAAUCGCCUCUCCAUGAGAGAAAUUGAAGAAAGAGACGCAUGUAUUACGUUUCAAGGUGGAGAAAGAGCGUGAUGAGAUAUAUAGUGAGGCAAUGGCCAUGGUUAUGCGGUCGUUCGAUGUUUCCUUUGGCGGCCUUUGAUGGUCUUGAGGACUUGAAAUCGGUUUCAAUACUCUCGUUGCUGGUGUGGGUGGAGAUCCUAGGGCUUCCGCUAAACUAUCUACUGAUGAGGCAGCCUACAUGGAAGUGUGUAUGGUAAGAGAGGUUACUUUUCUUGAUAAGAUAAGGAUUUAACGUGGGACUCAAGCUAGAGUUUGGAUCUGACACUCUCUCGAUGCUCUAGUUCAUCAACCGUUUCUGAUUGGAGCUUGAGGUCUCGUUAAGUAUAGUGGCAAAGCUUCGCUUCAAGUAUGAGAUUUAUAGGAUUUGGACGUGUGGACUACUGGAGCAUGGUGUGGGAGGAUAUGGAGGUCUCCCGAACUUUUCGGAGGUGGAGAAUAGCCUAGAAGAGAUGCAAGCUGCUACCGGCUCUAACCUUUGGGCAUAACAGCGUGUUAUCGUUGUAAGAAAGGCUGGAGGUACGUUUUUGGUCAUUAUAGGUGAUGGUGGCAUACCUCAAACAUGGGCAAAAUUCAUCUUCCCUUCCCCUGCAGUUAAUCACUUCAAGACCCUUGCGAUUUUCUCUAUUUUGGGGUAUAAUGCGUAGCUGUUAGCACACCAAACUGCCGCCAUGCUAGGGCGGCCUGCUCCGAAGCCGAUGUGGUCCAAUGCUGUUACUGAACUAGUGAUGAUGAUCACUAGAGGUACAUGUCAAGCAAUGCAGGGUGAAAGAGGAAAAAUCCUAUAUUGAUUACCUAUGUUAAGAGCCUAACGGUUUUGAAGUUGGCUGCUCCUAUACAGCUUGAGUUUGAAACUUCUUUAGCUCUAGUGUCACAGUAGAAACCAUUGUUAUGCCCUCCGCGAAGUCUGAUUGAGGAUGAGGGAUCUUUUAGUGAAGUCUCCUCUGCAUAGGGAGGUCUCUAAAGAGUAUGAAUAAAUUAUAAAUGGAGAUUGACAGGUUCAGAUCACUCUCUGGUUGUGUCAUUUUGGUUACUUGGUUUUGAUUACGAUCAAAGUCAUUUUUACGUAGGACUCUAGGUAAGGUCUUAGCAAUAGCUCUUUUCUAGACGGACCCUUCAAAAUAUGGGUUCUUGUGUACUUUUGCAUCCACUAUCUUUGUGUACUCCAAAGAAAUGUUUAAUAAGAACAUUUCAUAAUAGAAAUCACAACAACUUUCAUUUUGAGAGAAGACAUACUUUCAUCUACUUGAUUAAUUGGUGUAUUUUCUGAUAUGAUUCUGAACCAGUAAUCCUUGUAUGUAUGGAAGAGCCUCCGAAACAUGAAACGAGCCCCAAAAGAGCCCAGCCCAACAACUAAGAGCACCCAUAGAGAUGGGCACCCAAUAUUCUGGCAUGUUGCCGUUGUUGCCGUCACCUCUGAUGAGCAACCUUGAUCCCACAUAACCACACCGUCGAUAUCACCACACAACUACCUCUCGACUUUCACACCCAACCCCCACGGUCGGAAACAAGUGCAUGCCCAUGUCGACUACAAUACUCAUUCCAAGCUAUCGGACCACCGUUGAUUACAGUGGUGUAGCUAGAAACCACAAGUAGAAGAACCAAGAGUUUAAACAAUAAUGUCACACAAAAUAAAAAUAUAAUUUUUAUUGAAUAAUAUAAAAACUUAUAAAUCAUUAAAAUACUUAAAAAACAAAAGUUAAACAAAAUAACAAAUCUCCCUAAAGCAAUUAUAAUUGUCCUCGAUGAUUGCUCAUAUUUUGAAAUUUUUUCAUGAUGGUUUCAUUAUCAACACCAUCAAAUAUAUCUUUCUCGAUAUAUGUAAUCAUGUUGUCAUUCAUCAACGUGUCUUCCAUUCGGUUUCGCAAAUCACUUUUGAUAACCUUCGUCAGAUGUAUUUCUUUUUAGAGGAGCUUCAGAUGGUGUCGACUGUUCUGUUGUUUUUCUCUUUCGAUCCUUUUCAAAUAAAGCUAAAGCAUCCAUAAUUGCAUUUUUUUAAUUAUGAAGGUUGUCGACGACAGAGAAAAAUUUACUGAAAGAUAACAAAAAGAAAUACGUAAAAAAACAACUAAAACUGUUUAUAUAGAGGUGCACGAGAAAUCAAUCACAAUCAUUGAUUGAUUAGGAAAAACAUAUUAAUUAAAAAAGACAAAAAAAAAAAGAAAAAAAAGACUAGAAAUAUGUUUUAAUUGUAAUAUUAAAGGAAGAAGCAAUCAAUCAUUGAUUAGGAUUAGAAAUCUAUAUUAAAAAAAUAAUGAGAACCACGUGUAGUUAAACAUAUAUUAAACCUAUAUUGAUUAGGAGUUUUCUUUGCCGGAACGGUUUCAGUGCACCAUGGUGCACUGGAACCUGGUCAUGUGCAGUCACUUGACUGUUAGUCUCUGGUUAGUCAAUGACAGUGAAACAUAGACCAAAAAAAGAUCAAGUCUCAGUAAAAUUCAAUUUUACCAUGAUUUGUGGAAUAAGCCGACAUUUCAUAGACCCAAGAGUGUUCUUUCUGCAAGAACGACACGAUACAUAAUGGGUAAAAUUCAACAGACCCAAACUGCAAUAUGCAAGACCAGAUCUUGAAACUUUGAAUAUGGCCUCUCCUUCUCAAUCUCCUUCUUCAAUUGUAUCAACGCCAGCAACUAGACCUGAUUAACCGUCACCGAUCACCGACACCCUUCCUUGCCCCAGAAAUCCUCGACUAUAAGACCAGGAUCGCUCAGUUUGCCGGCGACCCGCUAUCCGGAUAGCACGACCCGGACGUGAAUUGAAUCGAAUCCAGCGAUCUGAUAAUUUCAUGUAAUUGAAUCUCUCAAACUCGUAUGCUACGGAGAACAAAAUUAAUGGCUUUGGAUUUCUCAUGAUUUUAGAUACGAAGACUAUCGACACUUGAACUUCUAAGGAAUAUCUCCAGCCACCAACUUAUGUUCCAUCUAAUAAGAACUAAAUUUUGAUUCCUUACUCCAUUGGAUAAAGCCGACAAGAAAAAGCUACCCCUUCUUCUUCUUCUUUUUUUUGGCUUAAUUUAUCUAAAAAAAUAUUUAUAAAAAAAAGAAUUAAAUUCAGUUUACCCCAUGAAGUUUAGGAGUAACUUCAUGUUAAUCCCUAUAUUUUCAAUUUCAUCAGUUUACCCCUCAAACUUUUGAAUUUUUCUCAAGCGUGACCAAAUGUCCUAUAUUUUGUCUAAAUCGGAAGUUAACUAUUGAUAAUUUUAACCAUAACUGUGAGUCCAGUAUCUAGAAUUUGGGCAAAUCAGACCUUAUAUGUCCAAAUCGAACCUUAACUGCUGAUAAUUAAAGGUCAAUUCAAACGAAAUAUGAGAAUUUGAGCACGGCAGACAGAAAUUGAAGAGUUCAAGGGGUAAACUGAUGAAAAUAAAAGUGUAGGGACUAACAUGAAGUCACCCCCAAACCACAAGGGGUAAACUGAAUUUAAUUCAAAAAAAAAUUAAUCUGAUUUGGUAGUUCAUUUUUUGUGGUCUUAUAAUUAAAAAAGUUUUUUCAAAAAAUGAAAAAUGAAAAAUAUAUUAAUUACAUUAAUAAAGAAAGAUCUUGUUCGUAAAAGCUUUAUUGAGCAAGAACGACACUUUCUUAACAAAACCUUGAUACAAAUUUUGUAUUAGCAAACUUUAAUAAAUAAAAUUUUAUAGAUACAAAUUUUAUAUUAGAAAAAUGUCUCAUAAGAUCACUUUACUCUUCAACAUGUUUGUUCGUCUAUCCAUGACAAUCAAUCUCUACUACAAUAUCCUGGUUCUUGUUUUUGUAUACUAACUUAUGUAUGUACAUUAUCAAAAUAAUUUAAAUUUUUUCUCAUCAAAAAUAAACAAAACCUCGAUACAUGGUUACCCAUAAUUUAUUUUAAUAACGUAUGUAUAUAUGUAAGUUAGUAUACACAAGCAAUAACUGAAAUAUUGUAGUAGCGAUUGAUCGUCACAGAUAGACGAACAAAUAUGUUGAAGUUUUUCCUUCCUUCCUUCCUCAUAUUAUUGGUAAUGUUAAAUAUUUUGCUUCUCUUAUCUAUGUUUCAUAGCACAUGAAAUCUUAUACACGCUUAUUAGCAUUAGCGUGGUCGAAUGUUUUCAUUAUCCAUAUGUAAAUGUAAAUAUUAUAAGACUAACAAUGUUGAUAUGGAUAUUAUAUGCAUGUGAUAGGAUUCUUAGCCGGUGUCGUUUUUUUUUUUUUCUUCUUAUCUUGAUUUAAUAGGUCAAUCGUAUAUACAUUGAUACUAUUACAUUUAUAUAUAAAUUAAUAUAUUAAUUAAAAUAAAUUAUUUAUGAUUAAAACAAUCCAUAAUAAAAAAUAACAAAUAUAUAUUAUACCUAAUCCUAAUCAUAAUAGCAAAUUUUACACGUCUACCAUUUAUAUGAGCACUAAGAGAUCCAUCCACAUUAGUCAAAUGGGUAAAUAGGUAAACUCCAUAAUUAUUACGUUUUAAACAAAAUAACAAAAAAAAGAACAAAAAAAGAAUAAUAAUCCCUUUUUGCGUCUCCGGAAACUAAAAAGGAAAUAAAAAAUCUCACUAAAAAGACUUAAUAUUGUAUUAAAAAAACAAAUAAAUAAAAAAUAAUAAAAGUCAAGCAUAAUAACCCUCUCCCAUUGAUAUUUGAAUUAAUUGCCCAUGUAAUAUUUAUUGUAGCCUUACCUAUUUUUACCAUGUUGAUUGUAUUUCUUUUUAUCUCAAUUAUCUAACGAUGUUAGUAUCGGUGUUAGUACGUGUCAUGCAAUUGACUGCAUUAAAUGAAUGAUUGUGAUUAGUCAGUUACUAUUGGUUCACUUGAACAUUGGUGCACUGAAGAACUUUCGUUUCUUUGCUGACAAACUUGAGGAGUUGAACACUCCUCUGUCUAAAUUGAUUGCUGUAAUUAAUAUUUUAUAUGUCAAACGUUUCUCUAAUUGGUUAGAAGAAUCAAAAUAGUGCCAACAUCACAUUUCAACUGACAAAUUAUAUAACAAUAUGAGAACAAUAUGACCUAUUCAAAAAUGUGAGGGACGUCAGCUGAACCCCCUGGUUCUCCCUUCCCUACGCCCCUGGUUGAUUAGACUAACUGAAUUCACGACAUAGCUAAAAGUUAAAAUGAAGACCCACUUAGGGGCUUGGUGCAACUGCUAAAUUGAUAUAACAAGCUAAACUCGCUCUCCGAAAUGGCUAACCGGUCUUUCCAAUAAUUUGUAAUUAUUUUUUUUAUCGGGUAAUAAACAACUCAAAUAUUACAAACGAGUCUUUUCUGAGUCGAAUUUAUAACCUCUCACUUACUAAAAAGUGACCAUACUUUUUUUUUAGCAAACUAUAUAUUAGUUACCAACCAAAUUUUAAUUUUUCAAAUACAUCUUUUACACAUUAUCUUACAAAUUUAAGGACAAAAAUUAACAAUUUAGGACACAUUAAUGUCCACAUGCCAUAUGUCAUUACAUAUUUUACCAAACUAUCCUUCUCUGCUAUUGUCGAUCAUAAAUGUGCUACUGUCGAGGAGGAAGGUGCUACCAAAAAUGUGCUACUGCCGAGUAGAAGGUGCUACUACCAGUGUUGUUGCCUUUUUUAUCCGACAAUUCUCUGAUGCUGACGCACUACUAUUGUCGACUCUAAUGCUAACGUGCUGCUACUGUAAAAAAAACUGCAAAAAACAAACAGCACCACAACCUCAAACCUCCAUCAAUCCAUAUCUCACCAAACUCACCAAAUCCAUAUCUCACAAAAUUCAAACCUCCUCAACCUCAAUCCCGCUACUGUCGACGACUCGACAGAGCCCCUACUCCCAAAAAAUUUGACUGCCGCAUAUCAAGCCAUGACGACACGGCGUUCAACGAAGUGAUUGGAGCGAAUCGAUUGGGAUCGACUGAACUUGGUAGUCAUCUUAGCGUCGGGGGCGUCACCGAUGAAGCAUCGCCGUUGAAAUUGAAUCUGGUGUCUUCGAGGCAGAGGCAGCGGUGUCGGAGCCGUCAUCAUCGUCAAGGCGGAGGCGUCUUCAUCAUUGUUGAGGCAGAGGUGUUGUCAUCGUCGGCGUCGUCGAGGCGGAUGAGGUAUCGUCGUCAUUGAGGCGGAGGCAUAUUCAUCGUCGUUGAGGCAGAGGUGUUGAGAGAGAGACAGGAGUAGAUCUGAAAAAGACGAAAGGGGAGAGAGAGAAGAGUAGAUCUGAAGGAAAAAAAUAAGAAAAAGGAAAGAUCAAGUGAGAGGAAUGUUGGGGAUGAGAGGGUAUUAUGGUAUUUUUAAUAGGUAAAAUUCGGAUCAGGCCUCAUGCUAUUAGUUUGGAGCUUGGUUGAUGUUCUAAAUUGUAUAAAAAUUAAUAAAAAUAGAUUUUUUGUGUUUUUAAAUUUGGUUAUGUGUUACCGGAUAGUUUUUUUAUUCUUUUAUUCCUACCGAAACAAAUUUGUCAUUUAAUACGACACCGUUGCGUCUUCGGUGACCACACAAAAACCCUGACUUCUCACAACCCUAGUCUCCAUCCCACAGAAACCUGAGAUGAGGCGAUUACAAACGGCGGCUUACUUGCCGGAAGAAUUGACGGUUAAAGUCCUGGAGAGGUUGCCGGUCAAAUCCCUAAUCCGGUUCACCUCCGUUUCUAAACGCUGGCGCUUCAUCAUAUUGUCCGACCCCGAAUUCGCGAAAUCCCAGUUCCAAAUCGCUUCUCAGCACCAAACCUUCCGUCACAGAGCCCUCGUCUCCACCUCCAACGAAACUGAGAUUGAAUCCCAUAACUUGUUGUCUUCCUCAUCGCCAAAGCUUAGGUGCCCGUUCAUUCUGCCCCGGACUGCUGUCAAGUUAAUUUGCUCCUGCAAUGGUUUGGUUUGUGCACUGCUUCUUCCACUAAAGCACUUCUACAUCUGGAACCCAUCAACUGGCUUCUUCUCUAAGUUACCUGAACCUGUUGGUUACCCCUUAAAGAAUCGAUCCCUGUUCAUCUGUGGGUUUGGCUAUUUGUCGGCCUCUGACGAUUACAAACUUAUCGCCAAACUUAAAGACGAUAUGUUUGGUGAUGGGUAUGACUAUGAUUAUUAUUUUGAUGUCGUCGUGGUGAUGCUUAUCUUCUCAUCUAAAGCCAACAGUUGGAAAAGAACAGAAGCCCCUGUCGGUUAUCACUUCAAUGGUGCUGGGAUUCUUUCAAAUGAGGUGGUUCAUUGGAUGGACAAGCGGAACGACAUGGCCAUCGUUGCGUUUGAUCUAGCAGAGGAGGAGUUCCGGGGAAUGCCGCUGCCAGUUGUAGAUGGUGGUGAGCUUGGAUUUCUCCGGGCUUAUGGAGACAGUCUGUGUGUAUUCGAUCUUGCAAAGGUUUGUACUUCGUGCUCCAUUGAUAUGUGGGUGAUGAAGGAAUACGGCGUGGAUGACUCAUGGAUGAAGCUAUUUAAGUUGAAGAUUUCCAAUCAGCCUGAGAAUAUAAAGGGGUUACGGCCAAACUUGGUAUUGGAAACUACCACAUUUCUGCAAAAGAGAACUGUAGACAGUGAUGGGCGGAGUGUGAUCGAGGUGAUAAGGAGCGGUCAUACUAAAGAGGAGCUUCAUUCGUUUGUGUUAAGCAUGAAUGCAAAAUUCAUGGAAAUGAUUGAAUAUGAAGAGACUCUACUUCGGCUUGGUUAGUCACCCCUCAUUUUCAAAUUUCUAUGCCCUUCAAUUCACAUUUGUAAUUGAUUGAAUCGGAGUGAUAAUAAUAUUAGACCGUUUGCUUUUUGUUAUUUUUAGGAUGUGACUUUAUGUUACUAUAAAGGAAUCAUUACACUUUGAUACAUUCAUGCUUAAGUCAGUAUUUGUGCGUUUGUGCUCCUACCACAGUUACUUCCAUUAUGAUAUACUGCAGUCACAUAAUGUGUCUUUGGCAGAAGUUAUGACUUGUGAGAGUUCUGCUUUGUUUUGCCAAAACUACGGUGGUUUUGGUUGGCCAAAGCCAGUUUGGGGAUGAGUGUGUUGGUUGUAAGUGAGAGAUGGGAGAAAAUGUAGAACAAAUUGAUUGGUUCUAUGGUCCACUUCUGUUAAACAUAUAUGGCAGCUUCUCUUGUAUUGUUAUUUGUUUCAGAUAGGUAGGAAUAGCAUCAGGCCCGCUCACCUGCGGGACACUAUUUACGGGACAGAAAGGGACGAAUCACUCACAGCCUUUGGAUUUUAAGUGACUAAAUCUUACGGUUAUAAUGGCUCUAGCCUUUUAUCCAAUUCUUAUCCCAAAUUCCCAACUUAUGCGACCUGCACCAUCUUCUGCUCACAAAUUUGUCCAAGCCAUGCCCAGAUUUUCUGUUGAUCUUCUUGUCCUCUCUCUCUCUCUGCCAUGCCCAGAUUUGUUCUUCUGCUUACCCUCUCGCAACUCCCUAGGCCAUAGUAUCUGCAAUCUCUUUACAUCUACUUUCUCUGCACUUCUUUUGUUUCUUCAUGAGAGUUCUAUUUUCAGAUCUAUUUCAUUCUUUACUACUCAAUCGGUUUAUGGGUCAGAGUAUGGGUUCGAUAGUUUACUCAAUUUUCCUAUUGCAAUUGAUUUUCUCUACGGUUCCUUUGUUUUCCUACUUAUGUUUGCUUUGUUUUUUUGGAGUUAGUUUUCAUGUUUUGAACCCGUAACAGAUCACUUCGAAUGAUGAGAGAGGAUAGCAUAAAUACCUUUAUGAAAUUACAAAUAGGAUGGUGAGAUGAAGGGAUAAACAGAUGAAGAACUUGGAGAUCUGGGUAGCAGAGGCUGGUAAAGGAGGAACUGCAGAACUGGAAUCUAAUAGGUUUAGAUUAGGGCUGUAAGAUUUAAUCACUUAAAAUCCAAGGGAUGUGAGUGAUUCGUCCCUUUCUGUCCUGUAGACAGUGUCCUGCAGGUGAGCGGGCCUGGGCAUAGUAUUAUUAGUCUACCAGUUUUAGUUUUUCUUUCUUUCAGGGUUUUUUGGAGGGUUUCUUGUCUCCUGCGUUUUUUUUUUUUUUGGCUUCUGCUUCUUUUCUCUUGUGUGUAGUGUGGACAUCUUAUUCUGUUUAUCUCAACGCUGAUAUUUGAAUAAUAUUGAAGACCAUGUUGUCUGUUAUGCUAGGAACUUAGCAGGUAGAAUAUGUUUUAUUUUCUAUAUUGUAUUUCUAAUGGUCGUCUCCCUUGGAUUGCAUUUUUGUGCCAAGAUUUUAGUUUGGGUUUGGCUUAAUCGGUUUUGAUACAUAUGCAUUGUUGAUGUCUGCUCUCUUUGUUGAGCUUUUGCCAACUACUUGAUUUCAUCUGUCUUCAUUUAUAAGCCAACCUAAAUAGCAUGAGCUUUGGGUCUUGCAACUUAUUUCAAUCCCUACCCACAAUACACCAAAUUCCAUCACAAAGGUUGUGAUUGUUGUAGGAGUGUUGGUUACAUCAGUUGGUUCAAGUCCAAGUGUUCGACUGCCAGUUUUAAGCUAGGUUGCAUGGAAUCAGAAGAGGAAAUGUAUGGAAACGCGGAAGCGUUUUUUUUAAAAAAAUACUUGGAAGCUGAAGCAUUUUGGAAGCGCGGAAUAAAAUAAAUAUAAUAUAUAUAUAUAUAUAUUAUAAGAAAUAAAAUAUGUAUUUAUAGAGUACGGCUAUUGAGACCUCCAAAUUUGCUCACUUGACCUCCUUUUAUUAUGAGUUAUUGAAUGACAAUUAUCUCCUCUUACGUAAUGACUAUUAAGGACAAUAAUCAUAUAAAAAUAAGUUUAUUUAUUCUCUCUACACUUUCCAAUUCAAUAAUUAAUUGUAUUGUUAUUCUUUAUUAAUUUUCCUUAUUAUAUUUUUAAUUUCUAAUUUUACUACUAUAUUAUAUAUUAAUUAAAACUAAAUAUGAUACAAUAUACAACAAUGUGACAUAGUAAUUUCUACUAUCAUACAUAUUAGAAGCAUAUAUAUACAAGGUGAAGAUUAUAUAUGACAAAAACAAAUCGAUAAAUAGAAAAAUUAAAUAACUAUAGAAAUAAUUCAUGAUGUACAUAAAUAGAGGAAAAAGGAACAUACAUAGUAUACAAUGUUAUCCUUGAUCGUUGUUUAGCACAAGUAAAAAUAAGAAAAAAGAAAAGCUAAUUUAUGUUAGAAUAUUUUCUUGUUGGUAAAUAUAAUUUUUUUUUAUCAGAUAAUUAAACUAUUAUUAUGCUACAACAAGCCUACUGUGAGUCGAAGACACGGCCUCUCACUUAUAAGGAGGGACGGUACUGGGUUGGUAAAUAUAAGUUUUUGAAACCCAAUAUUUUAUGUUAUUUGAUUUUUAAGAGAAAAAUUGACGUCAUUGAAAACUUUUUUUUACAAAUUGAUCAAAUAAUGGGCCGGUUUGGUGAUAUUCUAUGGGAAAUAAAAAUAUAUCAAGGAAUUAAGGUCGUGAAAGAGAUUUGAACGAAAAAAAAAAUCAAGGAAUAGAGAUCUCGAUGAUAGCAUGCAAAAAGAAAAAAAUAAAAGAAUGAGAAGUCUAGAGAAUAAAUAAGAGGUAUAAUGAAUAACUUAUCAACAUAUAUGUGAAUAACAUACAUAAGGUUAUUUUAGGAAUUUGAAAGGAGGUCUAGUGAGCAAAUGCUUGUAGUUAAAAUUAAAAAGGAGGUGUAAAUAGCAUGAGAGGUAUACUGAGCAAAUUUGGAGGUCUCAAUAGCCGCACUCUUACAUUAUACUUAAGAAUGUAAUCUACAUAGAGAAGGUUUUGCAUGUCUUCAUUUCUUAAUUUAUUCUACUCCUCAUACCUCUUUCUUAUCUCUAUGUCUCUCUUCUCUCUAGUUUCAGAACGGUGGCUGGUAAGUGGUAACUUAUAGAUUAUCAAUAAAAAUUUUCAAUCACAGUUUUGUUUAUAAUGAAACUGAACAAAUAGAUUGUCAUAUCAUAUCAAUUGAUUCACAAACAGAUUUCAUUACUAAAAAUUGCCAUCGCGCUUCCAACACUAUAACCACCGUCGUGCUUCCAAUCCGGAAGCUUGCACUUCCUUUGCUCUUCCAAAACCACUUUUUCCGCUUCGGUAGCGGGAAACGUGAGUGAGGCCAAGCUUCCGUGCUUCCUAGGUUUUAAGAACGGUAAUGGUUGUGAAAUGUUGCAACAGUUUGAAUUUUGGUAAGGAAAUAUAGAAUUCUCUGAACUAGCAGUGAUAGGGUUUCAAUUUCUAUAUUGGUUCUCUUCUGGCUGUCUCCCUUUGAUUGAUUUUUUGUGUCAUGUUUUUAUUUCUGUUUGGGUUCUGCUUACUCGGUUGUUAGUUGUUACCGAUGCAUUGGCUGUUUUUUUUUUUUUUUUCUCGAUAGGGAGCUCUAGUUGCACCUUUAAAUUUGUUGUGUAUACCUCCGUUACUUUGUGCAGCUCCAUUUUACUUUUUAACACACUUCAAAUCUAAAUACACAUCCUUCCUAUUACUGAAAUACCCUCUUCUCUGAAAUCUCAUCUUUAUUACGAGUAAUUAUUCUUUGCACCCGGAACACCACGUGGUUUCUCUAGGUUCUCUAUCACACAGUAAAGUUUUCAAUGUUUUCUGAUUUACUUCCAUCCAGCAAAUCCCCAACUACUUAAACUUUUAUCACCAUUACAGUUAGAAUUUAAAGGUGAGAAUAUGUCUAAACUCAUAAUUACCGGGUUUUUGGAUUUCAACAAACUCGUCCUCGUCAGGCCUGUGUUCUUAUCAAUGUCGGGCAAACCAAUAAAUCGCAAAUCAAAACCAUCAUUUCUAACAUCAAUCAAAGUUCUUUGAAGGCAUUUCAAGGUUUGCAUCUGUAUUUCCAUAAUCAAUUUGUAAGGGUUUCAAAGUCUGUAUUUGGAUCUGACAUUCUUGGAUUAGCAAACAAAUACAAAAUACAAAAUAGAUCUUGUAUAACUAAUGGCAGAUAAUCUGAGAAUUGCAAUGGUCUCCAAUUAGCUGUGGAGGACUACUGUAAGAUUAUUUGUAGUCUAAAAGGUCUCCCUUGAAACACUAGUUUUUCUUAUUCGUUUUUGUUGAAAAGAAUAAUAAUCCAUCCUUAUCUCAAGUUUCUUGAUUGCUUUAAGCCAUGAACACCACGAUUGGGUUGGUUAAACCACAAUCACAGGUUUGAAGACGAAGGCAAAUUCAUCAUUGUGGACUUGCAACCAGCCGUAACUUCCUUCGUCUUAGAUACCAAACAAAUUCUGGUUUAACAAAUGCAUUCUCUAUUUGCCUUUAUUUGUCUUUUUGUAUUGAGUUGAAAAAAGUCAAACUUUUGUGUAAAAAGAAUAGAGGUGUAUAAAGAAAAAAAAAUUUAGAGGUGCAACUAGAACCUCCCUUUCUCGAUUACACAUUUAUUUCUCGUUCACUUAUUUUGUACUGAUUAUAUGUUAUUCUGUAUUAAUUAUAUGUUUCUGUGUCUGAAUAUGGUUCAUUUAUAAGCCAACUUAUGUAGCAUGAGCUUUGUGUCUCGCGACUUGUUUCGGUCUUAAUCCCCCCUACCCACAACGCACCAAAUUCCCAUCGCAAAAGUUGUCGACUGCGUUUUGUACACCAGCAUAUUCUAGUUUCAACUGUUUCGAUGCCAGCUGGUUCUAAUGGGAAAACGAUACGAGGCAAAGUAACUCUCAAGUUGGUUAUUCACCACAUCCAUUUCAAUCAUUUCAAUUAUGCUAAGAUGUCAUGGUGAAUACCAUGCAGUGUCUCUGGUCUAGUCCUUUAUCCGCUUCACUUGCGUAGGCUGUGUUUUGAAGCGCUGGUUGUCCCUGUGUGUAACCCACAAUUUGCCAAGACUCCCAGAUUCGUCAUCUUUUCCCUGCACCUAAUCUGAGUCCCUACAUUUUCUAAGACCAGCCCACAAGGCCGAAGGGGAAGAUACUCAAGAUAGCCCAUAUCCGAAAGGAUAGGUCCAAACCCGAUUCCCAGCAUAAGUACUCAGUAUCCCGCGCGUGACGACCACGCCUCUUCAAAACCCUAAAGUUCCUGGGUUCACUGCAAAGCAGCAAAUGACGGAUCACUUACCCGAAGACGUGAUAGUUGAAAUACUGAAGAGGUUGCCCACCAAAUCCCUAAUCCGCUUCACCUCUGUUUCCAAAAGCUGGCGCUCCAUCAUACUAUACGACCCCAAAUUUGCGAAAUCCCAGUUCCAAUUACAAACCGUCCGUCACAGCAGGAUCCUCAUCUCUAACCCCGAUGAACCUGAACUCGAAUCCCGAGACUCCUUUUCGUCGUUUGGAGACGAUUCUUCAGUGAGAAAGUUAAUUAGGUGCCCGUUCAUUCGAUCUGUGCACAGGUUAUAUGGCCGUGGUGUCAACUUACUUGGCUCCUGCAAUGGUUUGGUAUGUGCACAGCUUGAUCAUCAUGAUUACCAUAUCUACAUAUGGAAUCCAUCAACUGGCUUCUUCUAUGAAUUACCAGAACCGGUUGGUUUCCCCCCAAGGCACUUGUUUCUACUCUACUAUGGUUUUGGCUAUUUGUCGGCCUCUGACGACUACAAAGUAUUCACCAAAUUUUAUGAUGAUGAUGGUCUUCUGAUCUUCUCAUCCAAAGCCAACAUUUGGAAAAGAACGGAUGCCCCAGCCCCUCUUGAGUAUUACCCUUAUCAGGGGAUUCUUUCAAAUGAGGCACUCCAUUGGUUGCACCAUCGUAAUGGCAUAUGUGCUUUUGAUCUAGCAAAGGAGGAGUUCUGAAGAAUGCCGCUGCCUAUUAAUCAAUAAAUGUAGAUAGUGGUUCGGUUGGGCAUCUGCAGGCUUUCGGAGACUGUCUAUAGUGGAAAUUUUAAAACUGAUGGCUCUGUUGAUACGUGGGUGAUGAAAAACUACGGCGUGGCUGACUCAUGGACGAAACUAAAGUUGAAGGUUACCGAUCAGCCUGAAAACAGAAUCGAAUUAUGGACAAUCUUUUUUUGGGUAAUGAAUAAUUCAUUAAGGGACAAAGGCCAAAGACCAAAGCAAGGGCCCAAUACAGAAAAAAGAAGCAAGAAACUAAACAACUAAACCCAGCAAGGAUCUAGGGAUUGUUCUUGAAACAAAAAGAAGAAUUCCAGCAAGCUGCCGAGCUCACAUUUCUGCUAAGAAAGACUGUAGACAGAUAUGGGCGGAUGGUGCAAGAGCUGAUAAGGAGUGGUCAUACCGAAAAAAGCUUGAAUCGCCUAGCGUAAGAUGGAAUAUAGAUGAUAUGAAACUUAUUGGAUUUGAAGAGACUUUACUCUCGCUUGGUUAGUCCGACGCCCUCUUUUCUUGAUUUACUGGAAUUGUUUCAAUUAAGCCCGGCAACGGGCCGGAUCUGUGCGGGUUCUUACCGGGUGGGCUCUUAACGGGUCGACACGUUAAGCCCGUUGGCUUAACGGGUUUAACCGUGUCGGGCCUGACCGGUUUACGAGUUUCCGUUUGAACCCGUUGGAACCUGCUAAGCUCGUGACCUAACAUUUUUUCGUAGGAAUGAGCGCGAAACUGAAGCGGAUAGCAGUUGGAUUUUGUACGGCUUUUUAAAAGUUUUUGCUUAACCGGUCCUAACUGGUUCAACCCGCACGACCCGUUAACUAACGAGUUUUUGGCGUGCGGGCUUUUUUCAGCCCGUUUAGUAAAUGGACAGGUUUCGUGCAGGUUUUAGCAGGCAGGUUCGCGGACUAGGGGCCAAAUUGCCAGGCCUAGUUUCAAAUCACAUUUGCAAUUGAUUGAAUAUGAGUGACGAUAAUGUUAGACCGUUUUUUUUUGUUAGAUGAAGUGGCUGUAAAGAAAUCACUACACUUCAAUACGUUUCACAUUUGCAAUAGGUGUAUCAAUACCAACCCUUUUUUUUUAAUUUUUUUUUUACUACACUUCAUAUUUGCAAUAGGUGUAUCAAGAGCAAUUAUAUAUGGGAAAAUGCUUGAGAUCCAAAAGUAAUUUUACCAAAUAUCAAUACCAAGUGAUGUGACAUGUGCCAUAUGAUCAAACUAUUUCCAGCAUGUAUAUGCUUAUUUUAUUUCUAUUGUUUAAAAUAAAAAUAUCAGUAAUUAAAAUUAUUAUUUUUCGAAAAAUUGUAUACAAUAAACAACAACCAAAAGAACCCUAAUCCAACCCUUUCAAUUGUAGAGAUUAUUGAAAAGGCCAUCAGCCAAAACUAUAACAACGGAAAACAAAGUAGUGUAUGGCUUGGUUCAUUAGUUCAUUGGUAAUCGGAAUUAUGAUCUAUUGAAUCUAUUCUAUAAGUUUUGUUCAAGUUCAUACUAUAUGUGUCAAUUUGUUAUAUUAAAUGACACGAACAUAUAGCAGUGGUUUUGUGGGAUGAUCAGUGAGGUUUCGCAAUGGUGGUAGUCUUCACUUGGGAAUGUCUAUACAGUAUGUGAUAGAGUUAUGAUGUUUUUCAAUUGAUAGCCAGAUCUAUCUUAUUUACUGGAUUUCAUAUGAAUUUAACAAGAGCUUUCAUAUUGUUAGGGAAAAUUCUAGGGUGAGUUGAUGCAUAACAUACAUCAACUCUUUUGAAUAUUCUUGACCAUUGGAUAUAAUAAAAUUUUGAAUAUAUCUAACGGCUUAGAUUAUUCAAUAUUGAUAACUUGUUUAUCAGGUAGCAUGUAAUUUUAUAAUUUAUAUAUGAAAAAUAUAAUAAAAAACAAAAACAGAAUUUAGAAAAAAACCCUAGCUUAUUAGAAACAGAUUGAUGAAACCUAAAGUGAAGGAAGAGAAUAGGAGACGAAGGAGAAAGAGGUUGACUUCAUUCGUUCUGUGAGAAAAGGAGAGGAAGGAGAAAGAGGUUGAUAAAACCUAAGGUAAUUUGCUCUCUCAGAUUCAUUCGUUCUGUGAUGUAUAUGAGUUUAUCAAACGCCACAAAUGGCUUCACAUUUGUUUUAUGAAUCAUCAUCUUGUAUAUAUCUGUGGUCUGCAUCAUUGAAUGAGAUUUUUCAUAACAUGGGUGCUCCAGCUCUUCAAGCUUGUUUGGAGAAACUGAUUUAUAUUGAUAUUUGAGAUUAGAAUAAUAGGGAGGAACAAUGGCUUUAAAUUGUAAGCGUCUUAAGUUGGUAUGCAUUUUGACAGAUGAAGCUUUAAACUUCAACUGAAAGCUGGAAGUCUGGAACCUUGUAUGACAAUUUAAACCAGCAAGAAAAAUGUUGCACCCAGGGCAUUUGUUUUCUUAGAAGCUGCACCAGGGAAUUUGUUUUCCUUGUUUUUUUGGACAAGUCAAUCUCUAUUUCUAACAAAUUACAGGUACAUAUCUUGAGCAUGAUUCACAAGUUAUAUAUGCUUGGUAUAACCAUAAUGUUAAUCACAAAACGUGUUUGAUUAUACUAGAUAACCACAUGGCACUCUUCAAGUUCACAGACGCGUCCUGAAUUUAGUUUUGGCUCAUCUUCUCCAUCAGAAUCUUCAAGAGAAGCAAACAGGCAAUCACACAGGUGUUAUUGUCACUGGAAUGAGCAACAAGGUUCCAAGGUGUCAUUCCUUUCGUAAAUUUCUAGCAAGAAAGGCUCUUUUGGAUCAGCAAAAAAAUGAGUGUGGGGCACCAGAUCCUCCCUGCUAUUGUCUCACUCUCUUCUCCUCCAUGAUUGGGAUUCCCAUGUGAUUGUGCUCCUCCUCUAAACACUCAGACACUCAAAGAAAGAGAGAGAAAGAUAUAGACAGAGAUGUGCGGUCUUGUUUGGGCUAAUCCUCCUUCAUGGUCCUUAAGGACCUUAACCUAUAGGGGUACGUAGUACCAGUACCACUCCCACCUGUGAAUAUUGGAUGUGAUAAAUGUUGUGUUGUUUUUGAGUUUACUCAUACAAGCUUUUUAGCUUACCGGGUUUGUUGUUUACAACCCGGCGCACCUAUUUCUUGGUGUAGGGGUUAGACCUGCAGGUGAGGAUCAACAGGGUUGAGAUGGAGGCGUAGUGGCUAGGUUUUUUGUUGUUGUUGGGUUUUGAGUGUGUCUUUGUAUAUUCUUUUUAUAUACAUUGGGAUAGGAAUUAUUAAACUCAUGUGAGCAUUCCCUUUCUUGUUCUCAAGUUAUGUAAACAAGGAAAUGUAAUAUUUAACUCAAUUUGGAGUUGUAUGUAAAUUUACAUUUCGCAUUGAGUUUAUUUUCCUUGAUUUUUGUUGAAACAGGUUUUGGGAUAUUAAUAUUUUAGGAUAUAUCAUGCCAAAAUUUUUGAAAUUUAUCUUUCGAAAAUUGGGGCGUGACGGUUAAGCCUAUGGAAACUACUAUUUUUAUUCUUUGAGAAUUUUUUACAACCUUGGUUUUUCCAGGAAUUUGAAAAACGGCUUCACCAAAGACACGUCUAUCUUUCUAAUAGUAGAGAUACAUAUAUAGGAACUAAUGGAAAGAGUCUUCAAUAUGUGAAAAUUACCUACCCGAUAGAUAUCUCCAAAAAAAGUUUGAAACGGAAGAGUUUUGAAAGAAAGUUUCCGCUAAGGUUUUUAUAAGUGAUUAGCAAUUUUUGAUACUUUAAUUUGCUAUAUUGUAUUUUAGUUAUGAAUUUCUCUAGACACAUGUGAGAAUUAUUUGUUAUGUUUAGAAUUUGAGAAAAAAAGGCCGCAGCAAGGCACGGCCGGGUUUUUACCUAGUUGCCAUAUUAAUGCAUAAUACCUUAACUGAUAUGCUUUCCUUCAAUAGAGCAUAUCCCUUCACCAUCAAUCUUGCUUUAUAUCUAACUUUCCCUUCUUCAUUGUGAACUUCUUUUUUGUGUAAACCCAUUUACAACCUAUAGUUUUCUUUCCUUCAAGUUGUUCAACCAAAUUCCAUGUUUUGUUCUUCAAAAGAGAAUCACUACCAGGACAAGCACUUUAGCCGACGAAAAUGACGAAAAAUUUUCGUCGGCCUGUUAGCUUAAUUCGUCGGCUAAGAUCUUAGCCGACGAGCCAUCGUCGGCUAAGAUUUCGUCGGGAAAAGGUCGUCUGUGAUGACAUUAGCCGACGAAAAAAAAAUUUCGUCAGCUAUAGUCCCGCAGUUUAGCCGAUGAAAAACAUGUCGUCGGUUUUUUUCCCAGACUUUAGCCGACGAAACAAUUAAGAUAUUCGUCGGCUAAAGUCUGUAAUAAAAAAAUUUUUCCCAGACUAUAGCCGACGUUUUUUCCCAGACUAUAGCUGACGAAAUAUAGUAUGUUUCGUCGGCUAAACCUUAUAAAAAAAUUUAAAAAAAUAACUAUAGCCGACGAAAUAUAGUCUGUUUUGUCGGCUAAACCUUAUAAAAAAUUUUAAAAAAUAACUAUAGCUGACGAAAUAUGUCAUAANNNNNNNNNNNNNNNNNNNNAAAUUUACAUUUCGCAUUGAGUUUAUUUUCCUUGAUUUUUGUUGAAACAGGUUUUGGGAUAUUAAUAUUUUAGGAUAUAUCAUGCCAAAAUUUUUUAAAUUUAUCUUUCGAAAAUUAGGGCGUGACACUACACUAUGCCAAUAACAUUAUCAGGGCACGACAUAUAAAGCAGCAUUUCAAACAAGUGUCGUCUGAUGGUUUUUGUGGUUUUUUAGACGACAUAUAAAAUGUAAAAGUCGUCUCAAUGACAUCCUACUUCAAUACUUUUAGAGGCUAGUUCAUUUUUUUUAGGUUUGUAAAAAUCAUACGACAUAUAGGUGUGGUGUCAACAAACCUAGAAAUUCUCACUUUCAGUGGAAAAUUGAGACCUCAUAUCAAGGCUGGCCCUGAGAUUUUGGGGGCUCGAAGCGAAAAAAAAAAAUUGGGGCUCCCUGCCUAAAAGUCGUCCUCAUUCACCUGCAUAUCUGGUUCUUCUCCUCCGCCACUAUUAUUAACAUGGUGAUGAAGGACUGGUUCCUCAUUCAAAUUUGAUUCCUCAUUCAAACCUUGUUCUUCAUUCAAAUUUGCUUCCUCAUUCAAAUCUGGUUCCGCAUUCAAACUUGGACUUGCUUCUGCAUUCUCAUUCUCAUUCUCAUUGGUAGAAGUUUGUGCUUGUUUAAUACUUGGCUUUAAAUAAUUGCAAAUAGAUCAUGCUUAAAGCUUUUUUAAUGCCUCUCUUCUCUGCUUCUCUUUUCUUUUUUUAGCCCCAGAAGGAUACUUCCUAAUUGGAGCCAUAUGACACCUUGCAAUCAAUUAUGAAAUCAAAAUCAAACCAAAACCUGUCUCACAAUCAGUCUUCCUAAUUGAAAUCAAAACGAAAAAACCCUUCUCAUUCUCAAUUUUAAGUUCUCAACUAUGAAAUUGCAAAAACUAUGGGAUUGGACUCAUUACUAUUGGAGGAGGACUGGAGGAGGACAGACCACAGACUUACCUGAGAGAACUCAGACUCAGAGACGGCAAGUCGGCAAGACGCGUGCGUUGUGGGGGUGGACGGCUGGACGAGGCAGUACGAGCGACCGGGCGUGCAGCAGAGUGAGCAGACGGCAGUCGACAGCCAAUGACUUCGAUCAAAGAGAAUUAGAAAAAGACAGAAAGUUGUAGAAGUAAGAAGUAAGAAGUUGUGUAGGUUAUGUUUAGUAUAUAUGUUUUUUUUUUAUUUAUAUAUGUAUAUAUAUGCUUGGAUUUGAGAAUUUGGGGCCCUUAAAUUUGGGGGCCCAAAGCAAAGGCUUGUUGGGCUUAGCCCAGGGCCGGUACUGCCUCAUAUAUAUGUUGUGUGAGGAAGACUGUCCAAAUCGAGUUUUCAGCUCUUUUAAUGUACUUCUAGAGACGACAAAUAUAUGUCGUCUGAAAGAAACUGAAAUUUUCAAUUCAAACUUCCCUAUGCGAGUUUUAAUGUGCUUAUCUUUCAGACGACAUAUUUAUGUUGUCCAACAAAAACCUUAAAUUUUCAAUGGGCACACUGAAGUUUUCCCACCCUUAGCGAAAUUUUCCCGCUCUUUACAAAAUAGGGCGCCACUUCUUUGUGUGACUCAGACGAUAUAAAUAUGUGGUUGUAAGAGGUCUGAAAUUGGUCAACAAACGAUAUGCCUAUUAUCCAUAGGGAAACACUCUUAUCUCCUUCGGCCGAACUUAUUUUUUUGAUUCGUGAAUGUUGAAACUCUCAUUGAGUACUCGCGAAACUAAUCAAUGAGAAAAUUUAGAAACGUUUAUAAACCGAUUAUAUAUCUCCCCAUAGAGAAGUUUAAAG